UCUCCGUUGGUGAACCAGCGGAGGGAUCAUUACCAGAGUUUUACAACUCCCAACCCUGCUGUGAACCUACCUAUCGUUGCUUCGGCGGACUCACCCCAGCGUCCGGACGGCCCCGCGCCGGCCCGCGACCUGGACCCAGGCGGCCGCCGCACACCACACAAUCCUGUAUCCAUCAGUCUUUCUGAAUCCGCCGCAAGGCAAAACCAUCGAAUCAAAACUUUCAACAAUGGAUCUCUUGGUUCUG
Molecule: unclassified non-coding RNA, 244 nt
Filed under: plant metagenome
Description: partial contains small subunit ribosomal RNA, internal transcribed spacer 1, and 5.8S ribosomal RNA
Source: RNAcentral